Molecule: non-coding RNA, 1536 nt
Organism: Elaeis guineensis (African oil palm)
Lineage: Eukaryota; Viridiplantae; Streptophyta; Magnoliopsida; Arecales; Arecaceae
Source: RefSeq, a predicted model, not a curated record
CUCUCCUCCCCCCUCCUCUACUCGUCAAAUGUGGGCGUCCUCCGUGCUCCGGUUCUCCGCUCCUCCCCUUAUCGGUACCCCGCGUUCUCGUUUCCUUGUCCCAUCUCUGGCGCUCUCCCUCGUUCGUUCCCCGUCUGCGCCCUCAAAGGUAACGAGGAUCAGUGUAAGAUGUAGUUAUGUUGCAUCAAAUAUCAUGGAAGAUUCCUCUUCUGUUCCUAUAGAUGUAGCGGCUGAUGUAAAAACUGAAAAGAUGGCAGUCUGAGGAGGCAGUGGUUUUGUUGGUUCAGCUAUUUGCAAAGUUGCAAUCUCCAAGGGCAUUGAGGUUGUCAGCCUAAGCAGGUCACAGGUUAGGGAGGUCUUCUUACUCAGAUUCUUGGGUUGACCAGGUCACAUGGAUGGCAGAGAAUAUGUGGGCCCUUACGUUCUCUCUUUGCUAUCAGAGUGAGAGGAUUUCUCACGAUAAUGGAUUCAGAAGUGGAGGAUCUAAUGAUGGCAAUGAAUGCAAAAUUUAGAGCAUUGGCGGAAUAUUUUACGGGUGAUGUUAAUAUUAGAGAGUCAACUUUCUUCUAAAGAAUUGAUUCCUUCUUCUCCACUUCCCCUUUCUAUAGCUGAAUGCCAUGAGACGUUGCAUAUUGGUUUUUCAACAAAUUCCUCUAAACCAAAGUCUCCCAUAUUUCUACUCAUCUUGGGGUACUUCACUGGCAAGAGAAAAGCUGAAUCAGAGGUCUCCGUUAAAUAUGCAAACUCAGGUGAAUCAUUACAGAGGCUACUGCUUGCUGCUGAAAAUUUUAUAAAGCCCCUGAACUUGCCGCCUGCUUCUGAUCUCCUCUUGGCAGCACCUUUGAGUGUUGAUGAUAUUGCACAUGCUGUGAUCAAUGCAGUCACGGAUAAUCACUUCUUUGGCAUUUUCACAAUCAAGCGGUCCAAGUAAUCUGCAGCAAAAGUGCAGAUUUGAAUUUGGUGCACUCACCCAUAGUGAUUGUUCACAUCAAAAUUUUCAUGCAAUGGAACUUUGGUAAUGCAUCAGCCAAAAGCUCAGCUUGCCUCCAAACUACCAAUUUGAGAUCUUAGGUGUGAGAUCAAUCUAUACUGUCAUGAUGAGAUUUCAAAUAUUCCAAUCCUCCAUGUAACCAUGUUGUGUGGACUGCAUUCUUCUGAGCGAAAAGAGAAGAAACAUUGUUGUGAGCAUAUUACACCCUUUUCCUGCACGGCCUAGCUCUAACCUACCUCCCCAUCAGCACUUCUCAUAUGAUAUGUUGGUGAGCUUUCCUUUGUCAAUUUCCUGUAUGGUAUUAUAUUGCUGGAUUUCCCUUUUCUGGGAAAAAAUAGUGUGUGAAUGCUGCCUUCUGGUAUUGAGCCAGGAAACUUACCUCCCUAGCAUUUUCUGGGGAGAGUGCCAACUAGCGGACCCCAUUCUCAUUGGUAUACACUCUUGGAUUUUGAUAACACACAAGGAAAUAUAUUUGUACCUUGACCAGUGACAUAGUGAGAGUUCAGAUUGUGGUGUAUCAUAGCAUGAAAUAAAAACAAUGUAAU